RNAcentral lists this long non-coding RNA (219 nucleotides) under Elaeis guineensis (African oil palm). Its description in RNAcentral is "long non-coding RNA (EGUI_LNC074116)". The record is from RNAcentral. Lineage: Eukaryota; Viridiplantae; Streptophyta; Magnoliopsida; Arecales; Arecaceae.
CGCAGGAAGACUUCGUCCGGACUCCUACAGGAGCCGGACUUCGCCCCCGACUUCAAUUGUAGGUAGACGUCGCCCGGACUCCUAUGGGAGCCGGACCUCAUCCCCGACUCCAGCUGCAGGAAGACUUCAUCCGGACUCCUACGGGAGUCGGACUUCAUCCCCGACUCCGACUGCAGGAAGACUUCGUCCGGACUCCUACGGGAGCCGGACUUCAUCCCC